RNAcentral lists this ribosomal RNA (253 nucleotides) under uncultured bacterium. RNAcentral describes it as "partial 16S ribosomal RNA". It matches the Rfam family "Bacterial small subunit ribosomal RNA", at positions 524 to 776 of the family's 1533-position model. The record is from RNAcentral.
UACGGAGGAUGCAAGCGUUAUCCGGAAUGAUUGGGCGUAAAGCGUCCGCAGGUGGCUAUGUAAGUCUGCUGUUAAAGAGUGAGGCUCAACCUCAUAAGAGCAGUGGAAACUACAUAGCUAGAGUGCGUUCGGGGCAGAGGGAAUUCCUGGUGUAGCGGUGAAAUGCGUAGAUAUCAAGAAGAACACCGGUGGCGAAAGCGCUCUGCUAGGCCGCAACUGACACUGAGGGACGAAAGCUAGGGGAGCGAAUGGG